CUACCAUGUCCGGGGUCUGGGUUUUCAAGAAUGGUGUAUACCGCCUCGUUGAAAACCCCGGUGGCGAACCCCGCAGGAAGGUACUGGUCUACGUACCUACAGGCGAGGUGAUCUCCUCGUACGAGAUGCUGGAGAGGAAGCUUCGAGAGCUCGGGUGGGAGAGGUACCGAUGUGGUGAUGACCAACUGUUGCAGUUCCACAAGCAGUCAUCGGUGCAUCUUACUUCCGUGCCGAGGGAGUUCUCAAAGAUGAAGUCAAUGCAUAUGUACGAUAUCGUCGUGAAGAGUCGCAAUAUCUUCGAGGUAAGGGAAGCGUGAUCAACGUGCAGCUGUG
Molecule: unclassified non-coding RNA, 333 nt
Filed under: Hevea brasiliensis (rubber tree)
Lineage: Eukaryota; Viridiplantae; Streptophyta; Magnoliopsida; Malpighiales; Euphorbiaceae
Source: RNAcentral